This 819-nucleotide ribosomal RNA is filed under the name uncultured bacterium. Its description in RNAcentral is "bacterial SSU rRNA". It matches the Rfam family "Bacterial small subunit ribosomal RNA", at positions 53 to 877 of the family's 1533-position model. The record is from RNAcentral.
ACAUGCAAGUCGAACGGAGAGUGAUCAAUUACUCUGAAUGUCCAACGGGUGAAUAACGCGAGUGUGACCUGCCCCAAAUCCCGGGAUAACAGCUCUAACGGGCUGCUAAUACCGGAUGUGGUCAUCGGGUUUAUAAGCCUAUGACCCAGAGCAGACGUUCUUCGGAGCGUUGUCACUUUGGGAGGGACCUGCGUCCCAUCAGCUAGUUGGUAAGGUAACGGCUCACCAAGGCGACGACGGGUAGGGGACCUGAGAGGGUGAUCCCCCACACUGGCACUGAAACACGGGCCAGACACCUACGGGUGGCAGCAGUAGGGAAUAUUGCACAAUGGGCGCAAGCCUGAUGCAGCAACGCCGCGUGCGCGAUGAAGGCCUUCGGGUCGUAAAGCGCUUUUCUGGAGGACGAGGAAGGACGGUACUCCAGGAAGAAGGCUCGGCUAACUACGUGCCAGCAGCCGCGGUAAAACGUAGGAGCCAAGCGUUAUCCGAAUUCACUGGGCGUAAAGCGCGUGCAGGCGGCUGGGUAAGUUGGAUGUGAAAUCUCCUGGCUCAACUGGGAGAGGCCGGUCAAGACUAUUCGGCUCGAGGACGUUAGAGGAAGGUAGAAUUCCCGGUGUAGUGGUGGAAUGCGUAGAUAUCGGGAGGAAUACCCGUGGCGAAAGCGGCCUUCUGGGCCGGUCCUGACGCUCAGACGCGAAAGCCAGGGGAGCGAACGGGAUUAGAAACCCCGGUAGUCCUGGCUGUAAACGAUGUAGACUAGGCGUGGGUGGGGUAAAAGCCAUCCGUGUCGCAGCAAACGCAGUAAGUCUACCGCCUGGG